GACGAACGCUGGCGGCGUGCUUAACACAUGCAAGUCGAACGGAAAGGCCCCCUUGUGGGGUACUCGAGUGGCGAACGGGUGAGUAACACGUGAGUAACCUACCCUUGACUUUGGGAUAACUUCAGGAAACUGGGGCUAAUACCGGAUAGGAGCUCCUGCUGCAUGGUGGGGGUUGGAAAGUUUUGGCGGUUGGGGAUGGACUCGCGGCUUAUCAGCUUGUUGGUGGGGUAGUGGCUCACCAAGGCUUUGACGGGUAGCCGGCCUGAGAGGGGGACCGGCCACAUUGGGACUGAGAUACGGCCCAGACUCCUACGGGAGGCAGCAGUGGGGAAUAUUGCACAAUGGGCGGAAGCCUGAUGCAGCAACGCCGCGUGCGGGAUGACGGCCUUCGGGUUGUAAACCGCUUUCGCCUGUGACGAAGCGUGAGUGACGGUAAUGGGUAAAGAAGCACCGGCUAACUACGUG
Molecule: ribosomal RNA, 465 nt
Filed under: uncultured bacterium
Lineage: Bacteria
Description: partial 16S ribosomal RNA
Rfam family: Bacterial small subunit ribosomal RNA
Source: RNAcentral